RNAcentral lists this ribosomal RNA (699 nucleotides) under uncultured bacterium. Its description in RNAcentral is "bacterial SSU rRNA". It matches the Rfam family "Bacterial small subunit ribosomal RNA", at positions 8 to 703 of the family's 1533-position model. The record is from RNAcentral.
AGAGUUUGAUCCUGGCUCAGGAUGAACGCUAGCGGCAGGCUUAACACAUGCAAGUCGAGGGGUAACAUUGUAGCUUGCUACAGAUGACGACCGGCGCACGGGUGCGUAACGCGUAUACAAUCUACCUUUUGCUGAGGGAUAGCCCAGAGAAAUUUGGAUUAACACCUCAUGGUAUAUAAUAUCGGCAUCGAUAUUAUAUUAAAGGUUACGGCAAGAGAUGAGUAUGCGUCCUAUUAGCUAGAUGGUAAGGUAACGGCUUACCAUGGCAACGAUAGGUAGGGGCCCUGAGAGGGGGAUCCCCCACACUGGUACUGAGACACGGACCAGACUCCUACGGGAGGCAGCAGUGAGGAAUAUUGGGCAAUGGAGGCAACUCUGACCCAGCCAUGCCGCGUGCAGGAAGACUGCCCUAUGGGUUGUAAACUGCUUUUAUACAGGAAGAAACACUCCCUCGAGUAGGGAGCUUGACGGUACUGUAAGAAUAAGGAUCGGCUAACUCCGUGCCAGCAGCCGCGGUAAUACGGAGGAUCCAAGCGUUAUCCGGAAUCAUUGGGUUUAAAGGGUCCGUAGGUGGAUAAUUAAGUCAGAGGUGAAAUCCUGCAGCUCAACUGUAGAAUUGCCUUUGAAACUGGUUAUCUUGAGUCAUUAUGAAGUGGUUAGAAUGUGUAGUGUAGCGGUGAAAUGCAUAGAUAUUACACA